AAAGAGGAAAGAAAACUAAUCUAAUGUUCUAAAAUAUGUAAACUAAGUGCUCCUGUUCAGGGUUGCUAAGUAUCUAAUUUACUUUUCUCAACUAGUUCUUACAGGUUUGGACCAAUUCCAACCAGUUAUAAUUGGUUUUGACUGGUUCUCAAAGAUUUUCAUGAUUUCUUGCCAGUUUUAAUCACUUCCAGCUGGUUCUUUUUUACUGUUUCUAACUAGUUCUUGCAGGUUGUGACCGAUUCAAACGGGUUAUAGCUGGUUCUGACUGGUGUUACAACUUUAACUGGUUCCAACUGGUUCUUGCAGGUUUUCACUCAUUCUUUGGCUUUGAUUGCUAUAGGUUUGGAUGAUUUCUGCUGACUGGUAGCUACUGGUUUGACUGGCCCAGAUUGUUUUU
This is a long non-coding RNA of Poecilia latipinna (sailfin molly), 397 nucleotides long. RefSeq lists it as uncharacterized. The record is from RefSeq and is a predicted model, not a curated record. NCBI's taxonomy places the organism in Eukaryota, Metazoa, Chordata, Actinopteri, Cyprinodontiformes, Poeciliidae. The transcript is spliced from 2 exons.